This 360-nucleotide long non-coding RNA is filed under the name Elaeis guineensis (African oil palm). RNAcentral describes it as "long non-coding RNA (EGUI_LNC002233)". The record is from RNAcentral. Lineage: Eukaryota; Viridiplantae; Streptophyta; Magnoliopsida; Arecales; Arecaceae.
UCAAUGAUCUGAGCUAAGGGCUCAGCUUUCAUCCACUUGGUGAAAUAGUUAAACACAGCAAUCAAAAACUUUCUCUAAUUGGUCACCAUCGAGAAUGAUUUGAGGGUGUCGAUACCCCACAUGGUGAAGGACCAAAGGGUGAUGAUUGGUGUGAGCUCAAUCAUCGAUAUCCAUUGGAUGUUGGCAUACCUCUGACACUGCACAUAUUUUCUGACGAGUUCGACUGCAUCUUAUUGUAAAGUGGGCCAGUAGUAUCCUUUUGGAUUGCUUUGUAAGCCAGCGACUUGCCCCCAAGUAAUUGCCGCAGAUCUUUUUAUGGAUCUUCCAAAGCACAUAAUGUGCAUCAAUUAUUGCAAGCAC